UACAGAGGGUGCAAGCGUUGUUCGGAAUUAUUGGGCGUAAAGGGCGCGUAGGCGGUGCGGUAAGUCUGUAGUGAAAUCUCUGGGCUCAACUCAGAGUCUGCUAUAGAAACUGCCGUGCUAGAGUGUGGGAGAGGUGAGUGGAAUUCCCGGUGUAGCGGUGAAAUGUGUAGAUAUCGGGAGGAACACCUGUGGCGAAAGCGGCUCACUGGACCACAACUGACGCUGAGGCGCGAAAGCCAGGGGAGCGAACGGG
This 253-nucleotide ribosomal RNA is filed under the name uncultured bacterium. Its description in RNAcentral is "partial 16S ribosomal RNA". It matches the Rfam family "Bacterial small subunit ribosomal RNA", at positions 524 to 776 of the family's 1533-position model. The record is from RNAcentral.